Molecule: ribosomal RNA, 496 nt
Filed under: uncultured bacterium
Lineage: Bacteria
Description: partial 16S ribosomal RNA
Rfam family: Bacterial small subunit ribosomal RNA
Source: RNAcentral
GAUGAACGCUGGCGGCGUGCUAAUACAUGCAAGUCGAGCGAACGGAUGAGAAGCUUGCUUCUCUGAUGUUAGCGGCGGACGGGUGAGUAACACGUGGAUAACCUACCUAUAAGACUGGGAUAACUUCGGGAAACCGGAGCUAAUACCGGAUAAUAUUUUGAACCGCAUGGUUCAAAAGUGAAAGACGGUCUUGCUGUCACUUAUAGAUGGAUCCGCGCUGCAUUAGCUAGUUGGUAAGGUAACGGCUUACCAAGGCAACGAUGCAUAGCCGACCUGAGAGGGUGAUCGGCCACACUGGAACUGAGACACGGUCCAGACUCCUACGGGAGGCAGCAGUAGGGAAUCUUCCGCAAUGGGCGAAAGCCUGACGGAGCAACGCCGCGUGAGUGAUGAAGGUCUUCGGAUCGUAAAACUCUGUUAUUAGGGAAGAACAUAUGUGUAAGUAACUGUGCACAUCUUGACGGUACCUAAUCAGAAAGCCACGGCUAACUACGUG